This 251-nucleotide ribosomal RNA is filed under the name uncultured bacterium. RNAcentral describes it as "partial 16S ribosomal RNA". It matches the Rfam family "Bacterial small subunit ribosomal RNA", at positions 524 to 776 of the family's 1533-position model. The record is from RNAcentral.
UACGGGGGGGCAAGCGUUGUUCGGAAUUACUGGGCGUAAAGGGCUCGUAGGCGGCCAACUAAGUCAGACGUGAAAUCCCUCGGCUUAACCGGGGAACUGCGUCUGAUACUGGAUGGCUUGAGUUUGGAGAGGGAUGCGGAAUUCCAGGUGUAGCGGUGAAAUGCGUAGAUAUCUGGAGGAACACCGGUGGCGAAGGCGGCAUCCUGGACCAACACUGACGCUGAGUGAGCGAAAGCCAGGGAGCAAACGGG